GACGAACGCUGGCGGCGUGCUUAACACAUGCAAGUCGAACGGAAAGGCCCUGCUUUUGUGGGGUGCUCGAGUGGCGAACGGGUGAGUAACACGUGAGUAACCUGCCCUUGACUUUGGGAUAACUUCAGGAAACUGGGGCUAAUACCGGAUAGGAGCUCCUGCUGCAUGGUGGGGGUUGGAAAGUUUCGGCGGUUGGGGAUGGACUCGCGGCUUAUCAGCUUGUUGGUGGGGUAGUGGCUUACCAAGGCUUUGACGGGUAGCCGGCCUGAGAGGGUGACCGGCCACAUUGGGACUGAGAUACGGCCCAGACUCCUACGGGAGGCAGCAGUGGGGAAUAUUGCACAAUGGGCGGAAGCCUGAUGCAGCAACGCCGCGUGCGGGAUGACGGCCUUCGGGUUGUAAACCGCUUUCGCCUGUGACGAAGCGUGAGUGACGGUAAUGGGUAAAGAAGCACCGGCUAACUACGUGCCAGCAGCCGCGGUGAUACGUAGGGUGCGAGCGUUGUCCGGAUUUAUUGGGCGUAAAGGGCUCGUAGGUGGUUGAUCGCGUCGGAAGUGUAAUCUUGGGGCUUAACCCUGAGCGUGCUUUCGAUACGGGUUGACUUGAGGAAGGUAGGGGAGAAUGGAAUUCCUGGUGGAGCGGUGGAAUGCGCAGAUAUCAGGAGGAACACCAGUGGCGAAGGCGGUUCUCUGGGCCUUUCCUGACGCUGAGGAGCGAAAGCGUGGGGAGCGAACAGGCUUAGAUACCCUGGUAGUCCACGCUGUAAACGGUGGGUACUAGGUGUGGGGUCCAUUCCACGGGUUCCGUGCCGUAGCUAACGCUUUAAGUACCCCGCCUGGGGAGUACGGCCGCAAGGCUAAAACUCAAAGGAAUUGACGGGGCCCCGCACAAGCGGCGGAGCAUGCGGAUUAAUUCGAUGCAACGCGUAGAACCUUACCUGGGUUUGACAUGGGUCGGGAGUGCUCAGAGAUGGGUGUGCCUCUUUUGGGGUCGGUUCACAGGUGGUGCAUGCCUGUCGUCAGCUCGUGUCGUGAGAUGUUGGGUUAAGUCCCGCAACGAGCGCAACCCUUGUUCACUGUUGCCAGCACGUUAUGGUGGGGACUCAGUGGAGACCGCCGGGGUCAACUCGGAGGAAGGUGGGGAUGACGUCAAGUCCUCAUGCCCCUUAUGUCCAGGGCUUCACGCAUGCUACAAUGGCUGGUACAGAGAGUGGCGAGCCUGUGAGGGUGAGCGAAUCUCGGAAAGCCGGUCUCAGUUCGGAUUGGGGUCUGCAACUCGACCUCAUGAAGUCGGAGUCGCUAGUAAUCGCAGAUCAGCAACGCUGCGGUGAAUACGUUCCCGGGGCU
Molecule: ribosomal RNA, 1346 nt
Filed under: uncultured bacterium
Lineage: Bacteria
Description: bacterial SSU rRNA
Rfam family: Bacterial small subunit ribosomal RNA
Source: RNAcentral